This 118-nucleotide ribosomal RNA is filed under the name Pteropus alecto (black flying fox). The record is from RNAcentral. Lineage: Eukaryota; Metazoa; Chordata; Mammalia; Chiroptera; Pteropodidae.
GUCUACGGCCAUGCACCCUGAACAAGCCCGAUCCCAUCUGAUCUCGGAAGCUAAGCAGGGUCGGGCCCGGUUAGUACUUGGAUGGGAGACCACCUAGGAAGACCAGGUGCUAUAGGCG